GAUGAACGCUGGCGGCGUGCCUAAUACAUGCAAGUCGAGCGAACAGACGAGGAGCUUGCUCCUCUGACGUUAGCGGCGGACGGGUGAGUAACACGUGGAUAACCUACCUAUAAGACUGGGAUAACUUCGGGAAACCGGAGCUAAUACCGGAUAAUAUAUUGAACCGCAUGGUUCAAUAGUGAAAGACGGUUUUGCUGUCACUUAUAGAUGGAUCCGCGCCGCAUUAGCUAGUUGGUAAGGUAACGGCUUACCAAGGCGACGAUGCGUAGCCGACCUGAGAGGAUGAUCGGCCACACUGGAACUGAGACACGGUCCAGACUCCUACGGGAGGCAGCAGUAGGGAAUAUUCCGCAAUGGGCGAAAGCCUGACGGAGCAACGCCGCGUGAGUGAUGAAGGUCUUCGGAUCGUAAAACUCUGUUAUUAGGGAAGAACAAAUGUGUAAGUAACUAUGCACGUCUUGACGGUACCUAAUCAGAAAGCCACGGCUAACUACGUG
RNAcentral lists this ribosomal RNA (497 nucleotides) under uncultured bacterium. RNAcentral's name for it is "partial 16S ribosomal RNA". It matches the Rfam family "Bacterial small subunit ribosomal RNA", at positions 28 to 507 of the family's 1533-position model. The record is from RNAcentral.